This 440-nucleotide ribosomal RNA is filed under the name uncultured bacterium. Its description in RNAcentral is "partial 16S ribosomal RNA". It matches the Rfam family "Bacterial small subunit ribosomal RNA", at positions 338 to 795 of the family's 1533-position model. The record is from RNAcentral.
CCUACGGGUGGCUGCAGUGGGGAAUAUUGCACAAUGGGGGAAACCCUGAUGCAGCGACGCCGCGUGAGUGAAGAAGUAUUUCGGUAUGUAAAGCUCUAUUAGCAGGGAAGAAAAUGACGGUACCUGAUUAAGAAGCCCCGGCUAACUCCGUGCCAGCAGCCGCGGUAAUACGGAGGGGGCAAGCGUUAUCCGGAUUUACUGGGUGUAAAGGGAGCGUAGGCGGCAGAGCAAGUCUGGAGUGAAAUCCCGGGGCUUAACCCCGGAACUGCUUUUGAAACUGUGCAUCUAGAGUGCAGGAGAGGUAAGUGGAAUUCCUGGUGUAGCGGUGAAAUGCGUAGAUAUUAGGAGGAACACCAGUGGCGAAGGCGGCUUACUGGACUAUAACUGACGUUGAGGCUCGAAAGCGUGGGGAGCAAACAGGAUUAGAUACCCGAGUAGUC